RNAcentral lists this ribosomal RNA (395 nucleotides) under uncultured bacterium. RNAcentral's name for it is "bacterial SSU rRNA". It matches the Rfam family "Bacterial small subunit ribosomal RNA", at positions 28 to 429 of the family's 1533-position model. The record is from RNAcentral.
GACGAACGCUGGCGGCGUGCUUAACACAUGCAAGUCGAGCGGUAAGGCCCUUUCGGGGGUACACGAGCGGCGAACGGGUGAGUAACACGUGGGUGACCUGCCCUCAGCUCUGGGAUAAGCCUGGGAAACUGGGUCUAAUACUGGAUAUGACUCCACGGUGCAUGUCGUGGGGUGGAAAGCCUUGUGCGGCUGAGGAUGGGCCCGCGGCCUAUCAGCUUGUUGGUGGGGCGAGGCCUACCAAGGCGACGACGGGUAGCCGGCCUGAGAGGGCGACCGGCCACACUGGGACUGAGACACGGCCCAGACUCCUACGGGAGGCAGCAGUGGGGAAUCUUGCGCAAUGGGCGAAAGCCUGACGCAGCGACGCCGCGUGAGGGAUGACGGCCUGGUGUAAC